Molecule: ribosomal RNA, 227 nt
Filed under: uncultured bacterium
Lineage: Bacteria
Description: partial 16S ribosomal RNA
Rfam family: Bacterial small subunit ribosomal RNA
Source: RNAcentral
UGAGUAACACGUAUCCAACCUGCCGUCUACUCUUGGACAGCCUUCUGAAAGGAAGAUUAAUACAAGAUGGCAUCAUGAGUCCGCAUGUUCACAUGAUUAAGGUAUUUCCGGUAGACGAUGGGGAUGCGUUCCAUUAGAUAGUAGGCGGGGUAACGGCCCACCUAGUCUACGAUGGAUAGGGGUUCUGAGAGGAAGGUCCCCCACAUUGGAACUGAGACACGGUCCAA